ACGCACGCUGGCGGCGUGCCUCAUACAUGCAAGUAGAACGCUGAAGAGAGGAGCUUGCUCUUCUUGGAUGAGUUGCGAACGGGUGAGUAACGCGUAGGUAACCUGCCUUGUAGCGGGGGAUAACUAUUGGAAACGAUAGCUAAUACCGCAUAACAAUGGAUGACACAUGUCAUUUAUUUGAAAGGGGCAAUUGUUCCACUACAAGAUGGACCUGCGUUGUAUUAGCUAGUAGGUGAGGUAAUGGCUCACCUAGGCGACGAUACAUAGCCGACCUGAGAGGGUGAUCGGCCACACUGGGACUGAGACACGGCCCAGACUCCUACGGGAGGCAGCAGUAGGGAAUCUUCGGCAAUGGGGGCAACCCUGACCGAGCAACGCCGCGUGAGUGAAGAAGGUUUUCGGAUCGUAAAGCUCUGUUGUAAGUCAAGAACGGGUGUGAGAGUGGAAAGUUCACACUGUGACGGUAGCUUACCAGAAAGGGACGGCUAACUACGUG
Molecule: ribosomal RNA, 496 nt
Filed under: uncultured bacterium
Lineage: Bacteria
Description: partial 16S ribosomal RNA
Rfam family: Bacterial small subunit ribosomal RNA
Source: RNAcentral